Long non-coding RNA from Triticum dicoccoides, 1553 nucleotides. RefSeq lists it as uncharacterized. The record is from RefSeq and is a predicted model, not a curated record. NCBI's taxonomy places the organism in Eukaryota, Viridiplantae, Streptophyta, Magnoliopsida, Poales, Poaceae. The transcript is spliced from 3 exons.
CACCCCCCGCCCGACUCCCUCCCCGGCGACGCGCCACCGACCGGCCUCCUCCCCAGCGCGCCACCGCUGGCUCCCUCCCGGCGACGCGCCGCCGCCCGGCCUCCUCCCCAGUGCGCCACCACCCAGCUCCUCCCGGCGACGCGCCUCCAGACUCCCUCUUUCCCUGCCAAUGUACACUGCAUGACCCGAGUGCCCGGCUGCCGCAUACGAGGUUGUGCACCGGCCCAACCAUCUCCGUCUGGAUCCCCCGCCUCCCACCGUGGCUCCUCGCCGCCACCAUGGGAUCCCAGCCGACAGCCUCCCCCCGAGCACCCCGUGCGCGACUGCCUUGCUUCCAUCACCGGUCUUCGCCCCUCCACCAUGCCUCCUCCCACAACCCCGAUCCAGUUCCAGCGACCUCCACUGGGAAGCACGUUGGUCUCGCCUUGGUCACAUCGGCAGUCCAACUGGUCGAUCCGUGGCCGGUCGCUCAAAGUGCUGCGUAUAGGCCACCCCGUGCUCCACCCAUGGGCCUGGCUCAGCUUUUUUCCUCCCAUGCUAUCUCUCAUCUGCCUACUUGUCCUGCUCUGUUCCAUCUCCUGAACUGUUGAUUAUGCAUCAACUCUCGCAUUAUGUGGUGUUCUUGCUCCCUCUCUCGUAGCUACAAAAUUCAUAAACUGCCAAUUUAUUUUGAAUUGAACUGAUGUUGCUCUUGAAUCAGACCUUCAACGAUCCGGUAGCCGGCGUUUGUCCUACUCCAUCGCCUUCGGUCUUUUUCUAGUUUGAGACAGUGAGAGCCGCCUAGGACGACUGCCGGGGACCAAGCUGCACCAUCGAGAGCCUCGACAACCCAACAAGAUGAACCGUACACGCGAGGAACCUCCUGAGCGUAGAAACUCCUCCAUCCAAGUCAAGCGCUGGGCGCCGUCCAGGUCGAGCACUGGGUGCUGUCCAAGUUAAGUCAUCCAACAGCGGGAGAGCGAGCUUUGCUCCGGGGCAGCCCAUCCUAGACGUGCAGCUGCUCUGCUCUCCACAUGAAUUUAGAUUGGAUUGGGUUGUAGUGCAUGUCAGGCUCUAUUGAUCUCUGUCCACGAGUGGUGCUACCUCGAGUCCGGUCGACGGCGUCCACGAGCGCGAGCAGCCCGUAUCCGGCGGCAAGAUGAAGGUUACCCAUGAACCAUGCUUCCCCUAAUCACCUCCACCUUGUGUGAAUUCGUAGCAGAGAAUAAGCACAAGCACCUACAGUCCCCCGGUGGCUUUGGCCGCACUUGGCCACUAGCUCGUCCAUCAUGGUGACUAGCAGCCGUCCAAGUGGAACGCGGACAUCAGUCCAAGGAGAGCUAGUUCGUAUAAACUGACUGUUAUGUAUAAUUAGGGGAUCCAAUGUUGAAAAGUUCAAUUAAGCUGUGUGUGCAAAUUCAAAGAAUUAUUGUAGGAAAGUUUAGAAGUUUGGUUUCGUGAGGAAAUGUAUGAUUUUCUAUCAGUAUUUGGUAUGAUUCAUUUGCCUCGGGUGCAACCCAAAACUAGACAAAAAUGUCAGAUGAUGAAAGGAAAAAUGGUUUGAAUUAAAAAUA